RNAcentral lists this non-coding RNA (45 nucleotides) under Schistosoma mansoni. Lineage: Eukaryota; Metazoa; Platyhelminthes; Trematoda; Strigeidida; Schistosomatidae. The record is from RNAcentral.
ACCCAACUGACGAGUCCCAAAUAGGACAAAAUGAGCAUCCUGGAU